This 461-nucleotide ribosomal RNA is filed under the name uncultured bacterium. Its description in RNAcentral is "bacterial SSU rRNA". It matches the Rfam family "Bacterial small subunit ribosomal RNA", at positions 32 to 524 of the family's 1533-position model. The record is from RNAcentral.
AAUCAACGCUGGCGGCGCGCUUAACACAUGCAAGUCGAACGAGAAAGGGAGCAAUCCUGAGUAAAGUGGCGUACUGGUGAGUAACACGUGGAUAUCUACCUCUUGGUGGGGAAUAACCUGGGGAAACCUGGGCUAAUACCGCAUAAGUUCGUGAGAAGAAAGGCGCAAGUCGCCGAGAGAGGAGUCCGCGGUCGAUUAGGUAGUUGGCAGGGUAAAAGCCUACCAAGCCGAAGAUCGAUAGCCGGCCUGAGAGGGCACACGGCCACACUGGCACUGAAACACGGGCCAGACUCCUACGGGAGGCAGCAGUGGGGAAUCUUGCACAAUGGGGGAAACCCUGAUGCAGCGACGCCGCGUGAGCGAUGAAGCCCUUCGGGGUGUAAAGCUCUUUCGGCAGGAACGAUAAUGACGGUACCUGCAGAAGAAGCUGCGGCUAACUACGUGCCAGCAGCCGCGGUAAU